RNAcentral lists this ribosomal RNA (739 nucleotides) under Pezizomycetes sp. genotype 202. RNAcentral describes it as "eukaryotic LSU rRNA". The stretch from base 235 to 739 matches the Rfam family "Eukaryotic large subunit ribosomal RNA", at positions 1 to 508 of the family's 3401-position model. Lineage: Eukaryota; Fungi; Ascomycota; Pezizomycetes. The record is from RNAcentral.
AAUCUUUGAACGCACAUUGCGCCUUCUGGUAUUCCGGGAGGCAUGCCUGUUCGAGCGUCAUGAAAAGCAUCCUCAAGCAAACUUUUGCUUGGUUGUGGAAGAAGAUGGCUCCCAUCUCUUCUGGAAACCCUCAGCAGAAGGCCUUGCAACCUCCAGUGUGAUAAAACCUAUUCACUUGAUGGUUACAAAGUUUUCUGGCUGUACAGAAAGCCCCCCCAGCAUUUUCUACAUGUUUGACCUCGGAUCAGGUAGGGAUACCCGCUGAACUUAAGCAUAUCAAUAAGCGGAGGAAAAGAAACCAACCGGGAUUGCCUUAGUAACUGCGAGUGAAGCGGCAAAAGCUCAAAUUUGAAAUCCAGUACCCUUGGGUGCUCGAGUUGUAAUUUGGAGAGGCAACUUCGGAGAGGGCGUUGGCCUAAGUUCCUUGGAACAGGACGUCACAGAGGGUGAGAAUCCCGUGCUUGGCCGACUGUCCCUCUUCAUGUGAAGUGUCUUCGACGAGUCGAGUUGUUUGGGAAUGCAGCUCAAAAUGGGUGGUAAACUCCAUCUAAGGCUAAAUAUUGGCGAGAGACCGAUAGCGCACAAGUAGAGUGAUCGAAAGAUGAAAAGCACUUUGAAAAGAGAGUUAAAAAGUACGUGAAAUUGUUGAAAGGGAAGCGCUUGAGACCAGACUCAGUGCUAGGUGAUCAGCGGUACUUUUGUGCCGUGCACUUGCCUUUUACUGGGCCAGCAUCAGUUA